UUUUCUCAAGUGCAUCAAAGAUUUAGCCAAUCUUCCAGAUUUUUUUAAGGCCUUAAACUUGAUUAAAAAACAAGUUUACAUUUGCAAAGGAGAAUUUUACUGGUUUAAAGCUCAUGUAAAGCUUAGACUACUUGGCCAAAAAGCAAGUCGGUAUAAGAUUUCCAUUAGAAAGUUUAAAAAGGCAUUUACACAGUUUAAUUUUUUCACUUUAUAUUGAUCAUUUAAGACACGCUGGCCCCCAUCUCUUUAUUUAAACACUGAAUUAGAGUUUUUUUGUUAAUAUUAAAAUUUGCAUUGAAAGUUUUAUAGUUCUUGAUUUAACAUUCCUGUGAUGUCUACACAGUCCAGUUAAUCAUCUGAGAAGAUUCUUCCUGGACUCUGUUAACUACAAUUGUCAUUUGAGUUACUGUGUCAUAUACAGAAAGACACCUGCCAGAAGACGCACUCUCAAAAGAUCACAGGUGAAAACAGAGAGAGGUAACUGAAAAUUAUUUAAUGGUUUAAGCUCUUGGGAUCAUGAGAGAAAACCUGUUGUACCUGUUGGGUAGAGCAUAUGUCAAACCUGUGUCUUAUAAUAGAGAAAAAUAUGAAUGUAAUAUAAUGUGAGGCAGCCAUCAUUAGCACUGUGUCAAAGGGAAAAGCUUUUUUUUUCCAUAUAUGUGCCUAAUGUUUACAUGUUAAGCAUGGCUUAUGCUCCAGAAUGCAUUCCAGUGAAUACACAGCAAUCAUGUUUAUUUACUGUUUUAUGGGAGUUGCUCAUGAUUUUAUUCUGUGUUAUUUCUCUAGAAGUGCUCUUACAGUGUGGCAGUAUGACAGUUGUCACAAAGUAUGUAAAUGUGGGAUUUUUAUGGUGGCAGGCCUAAACUAUCCUUUAACUUUUUUCAAAACUAUUUCUUUGUUGCAAUUUCACUGUGUUUAUUUGGUGUUGCUUUGCAAGUUUAGCUCAAAGAAAAGAAAAGCCUCACAGCAUCUCAUACAAUAACCGCACCCACUGAAAACAAAGGGGCAAAAAAAAAAAGCAUUAAAAAAUAAUGAACAUAAAACAAGCUCGUUCUUUGGGAGGCAGUUGGAAUAAAAGGAAUAAACACAGCUCUGUUUUUUUAAGAGUUCAGAGUGCGCAUGUGUGCACCUGGCCAGCAUAGCUCUGAUGACCACAAAAAGGGGUGCCGAGGACGCUGAGCUUCUACAGGUGCAGCAGUUUGGUUAAGGACGUGCAUCAGCCAGUCACACACCUACGGAUGAUGUCAGUUGUGGGUCAGAUCUGUGAUUACGAGGCUGCUGUGUUUUGUAUUUCUGUCUGUUUGUGUUUGCUCCAUGGAAACCAUUAAUAAUCAGGCCACUCUUGUGAUCAGUGUGCUUAAAUUAGAAGACUGCUCUGCUCCUCCUACUCUGGUGAUAUGUGUGUGAUCUUCAUUUAGGGAACCCUUCCCUGAGGUUUCUUCUUCUCUUCCAGCUCUACACAAACUAGCUUAAACGUGUGUGCUCGGGCACCUUGGGUGGCCACCUCUAUUUGGCAGGUGUACAAAAACAAACAGAGGUCAGCCAACCUGUUCAUGGCAAAGAGUGAAAGGAGAAAGUGGCGUUUGCCGCCCAGAUUAACGUGACUCUCAGGGAAAUGACACGUGUUAGGAAGCUGGCGUGCCAAAAACUUCCCAGAGGGAUUCAAGUGAAAUGCACCAGGAACUUGGAACCAUUGCAGGAUUUGGAUAUCAAAUCAAAAACACUAAUUGGAGAAGAAUGGGCGCGAAAAAAGUUAUUAAUUGACCAAGGUGCAGGACAUGAGCGGGGCAGAAAGACUUGUCAGUCAGAUGGCCACACCCAUAUCCUCAUCUCCCAUUGGAUGCCGACAGUUUCCAUGGCCACCUCUGUUUUGCACUUCUGCUUGGGCAAAAUAGUACCACUCACAACCACACCACUCAGCUUACACAUGAGUCAUGGAGAUACAGAAAAGAGCUUACUUGUUUGCCUUAGAAAAGGUUUGCUUUUUUGAACAAGAACAUUGUCAUCAUAGCUGGAUAUCAGCGCCCACCUCAGCCACCCCACUCCUUUUCCUUUUUGCAGAUGCAUGCAUUCCUUAUUUUUCAGGCAUGACAGAACUUAAAGUUCUCGGGGAUCAGUGUUUGUAAUGUAUGAAAGUUUUUUUAUAUGCUCUGAUGAAGUGAAUAAAAGCAGGAUAAAGUUG
Molecule: long non-coding RNA, 2182 nt
Organism: Oreochromis aureus
Lineage: Eukaryota; Metazoa; Chordata; Actinopteri; Cichliformes; Cichlidae
Exons: 2
Source: RefSeq, a predicted model, not a curated record